GUGGGGAAUUUUCCGCAAUGGGCGAAAGCCUGACGGAGCAAGACCGCGUGGGGGAAGAAGGCUCUUGGGUUGUAAACCCCUUUUCUCUGGGAAGAAAGUUGUGAAAGCAACCUGACGGUACCAGAGGAAUCAGCAUCGGCUAACUCCGUGCCAGCAGCCGCGGUAAGACGGAGGAUGCAAGCGUUAUCCGGAAUGAUUGGGCGUAAAGCGUCCGCAGGUGGCAGUUCAAGUCUGCUGUCAAAGACCGGGGCUUAACUUCGGAAAGGCAGUGGAAACUGAACAGCUAGAGUAUGGUAGGGGCAGAGGGAAUUCCUGGUGUAGCGGUGAAAUGCGUAGAGAUCAGGAAGAACAUCGGUGGCGAAGGCGCUCUGCUGGACCAUAACUGACACUCAGGGACGAAAGCUAGGGGAGCGAAUGGGAUUAGAAACCCCAGUAGUCC
RNAcentral lists this ribosomal RNA (439 nucleotides) under uncultured bacterium. RNAcentral describes it as "bacterial SSU rRNA". It matches the Rfam family "Bacterial small subunit ribosomal RNA", at positions 354 to 796 of the family's 1533-position model. The record is from RNAcentral.